This 440-nucleotide ribosomal RNA is filed under the name uncultured bacterium. RNAcentral's name for it is "partial 16S ribosomal RNA". It matches the Rfam family "Bacterial small subunit ribosomal RNA", at positions 339 to 795 of the family's 1533-position model. The record is from RNAcentral.
CUACGGGAUGCUGCAGUGAGGAAUCUUCCGCAAUGGACGAAAGUCUGACGGAGCGACACCGCGUGUAGGAUGACGCCCUUUCGGGUGUAAACUACUUUUCUGAAGGAAUAAAUUCUGAAGUUACUUCAGGAAUAAGCAUCGGCUAAUUACGUGCCAGCAGCCGCGGUAAUACGUAAGAUGCAAGCGUUAUCCGGAAUUAUUGGGCGUAAGGCGUCUGUAGGUGGUUUGUUAAGUCUGAGGUUAAAUCCAGAGCCCAACUCUGGACUCGUCUCGGAAACUGGCUGACUAGAAUCAGGUAGAGGCAAGUGGAAUUCUGCAUGUAGGGGUAAUAUCCGUAGAUAUGCAGAGGAACACCAAAAGCGAAGGCAGCUUGCUGGGCCUGUAUUGACACUGAGAGACGAAAGCGUGGGGAGCAAAAAGGAUUAGAUACCCCUGUAGUC